Oncorhynchus keta (chum salmon) is the source of this 3164-nucleotide long non-coding RNA. RefSeq lists it as uncharacterized. Lineage: Eukaryota; Metazoa; Chordata; Actinopteri; Salmoniformes; Salmonidae. The transcript has 2 exons. The record is from RefSeq and is a predicted model, not a curated record.
GGCACCGAAGAGGAUCAGUUUUACACUUCAUUUCCUGAAAUUCUACACAUUUCGCCAUGAUAUGCAAUGUUAAAAUGACGUUGAGUGACUAAGAAAAUCAAUUGGGACCCACUGGAGUUCUGUGCUCCUGGGUGCGUGCCCGGUCGGUGAUUCAACCAUGAUAACUAAUUUACUCAUCUAAAACAAUGUUAGCUGACAUGGGCUAAUAGAGUGACUGCCACACAACCACAUUUAGAAGUUGCACCUGGUGUAUUCUAAAUGUCAACAGUAAGUUUUGACUGAGUUCCAAUUUUUUUGGUGGGGGGGGGGCCCGGGCCCCAAGCAGUCUCUUCUGUUGCUUUAUGCCUCGGGCCGGCCCUGUGUGUGGAUGUCAUUCUAAACCAGAGGUUUCACUGUUUAACUUAUUAACUGAAGUGAUUAAAAAAUGUUUUUACCUAACAAGUGUUUGACGGUAUUGUGGUGGAAAUUAAACUUGAGAAAUAUUGUUACAUAUUGCAAGGUAGUGUUUUUAUAUUUUUGGGUCACCAGUGCAAAAACAAUAGGGUCAAUCUCCACAUGUUCGCAGUAAUGCCUAGUAGAAUGUAAUGAAGUACCUCGUUUUGUAUUUGUUCGGUACUGAUGAAAGCGAUAACAAAAAUAACAAACUGACCGUGGUAUAUAUAUAUAUUUAAGGAGUCAAACCAGACAAAAUGCACUAACUUUAACCCUUCUUGAUCUAAUUCUGUCUGUGGCCUCAGGCAAGUGUUAUAUUAUGUGUUAUAUUAUGCACAAAGACUAUAUUCAACUGUAUGUAAUGUGAAGGGAACGUCCCAAAUGGCAUCCUUUUCCUUAUAUAGUGCACUACUAUGGCUCAGAAGAAGUGCACUAAUACCUAGGAUAGGAUAAGUAAUCCUUCUCACCCCCUUUAAGAUUUAGAUGCACUAUUGUAAAGUGACUGUUCCACUGGAUGUCAUAAGGUGAAUGCACCAAUUUGUAAGUCGCUCUGGAUAAGAGCGUCUGCUAAAUGACUUAAAUGUAUGUAAAUGUCUAAUUAGGGAGCCAUUUUGGACACAGCUGAUUUUAAAUAGUGGGGGACUGAUGAUGUGUGACUGCUGCAUGUGACCGAGGCCAGGAUGCACAUCAAAGGGCAGGAAGACCGCGUUCACAUGUUGGCCCAAUCAGAAAGCACCUUUUAAAUGGCGCGUUGCCAACUCAAGAGCCAUGGAUUGAAUCCCGGCUGUUGUUCUACUGUCUUCAGAACCAACCAAACAGGAAGAGACAACUUGGACAAAAAACUCUUUCGGUUUCUAUUGGGAAAUUGUUUUAAAACAUUUCCCCUUGUGUGCCCUAAUGAACACUACCCAGGCUGGUGUAUGUAUCCUAAAAUGGCAGCCUAUUCCCUAGAAAGUGCACUACCCCUAUGGGCCCUGGUCUAAAGUAGUUCACUACCCUUAUGGGCCCUGGUCUAAAGUAGUGCACUACCCCUAUGGGCCCUGGUCUAAAGUAGUUCACUACCCCUAUGGGCCCUGGUCUAAAGUAGUUCCCUACCCCUAUGGGCCCUGGUCUAAAGUAGUGCACUACCCCUAUGGGCCCUGGUCUAAAGUAGUUCACUACCCCUAUGGGCCCUGGUCUAAAGUAGUUCACUACCCCUAUGGGCCCUGGUCUAAAGUAGUGCACUACCCCUAUGGGCCCUGGUCUAAAGUAGUUCACUACCCCUAUGGGUAGUGCACUGCUUCUACACCUGCAUCGCUUGCUGUUUGGGGUUUUAGGCUGGGUUUCUGUACAGCACUUUGAGAUAUCAGCUGAUGUACGAAGGGCUAUAUAAAUACAUUUGAUUUGAUUAUUUGAUAUGGGCCCUGGUCUAUUGCAGUGCACUACCCCUAUGGGCCCUGGUCUAAAGUAGUGCACUAGAAAAUGAAUUGGUCCCAUUUAGAGUGCAGACCGUAGCCAUUUUAACAUGAUUCCCUGUGAUCAGUCGACCAUAGACACAAACAGAUCAAAUAUUACAAUAAAAUGAGAGUGUUGAAACUGAACAGCCUUGGCUGCACAGUUCCUACAGCUGUGUGUUUUCACUGUCUGUUAUAUACGUUGGCCGGGCCUUGCAGCUCCAGGACGGGCAUGACGAUAAAAGAGCUAGGAUGUGUAGAACUUCAGAUGGUUGUACAGCUAGGAUGUGUAGAUCUUCAGCUGGUUGUAGAGCUAGGAUGUGUAGAACUAGGAUGGUUGUACAGCUAGGAUGUGUAGAACUAGGAUGGUUGUACAGCUAGGAUGGUUGUAGAGCUAGGAUGUGUAGAACUAGGAUGGUUGUAGAGCUAGGAUGUGUAGAGCUAGGAUGGUUGUAGAGCUAGGAUGGUUGUAGAGCUAGGAUGUGUAGAACUUCAGAUGGUUGUAGAGCUAGGAUGUGUAGAGCUAGGAUGUGUAGAUCUUCAGCUGGUUGUAGAGCUAGGAUGUGUAGAACUAGGAUGGUUGUACAGCUAGGAUGUGUAGAGCUAGGAUGGUUGUAGAGCUAGGAUGUGUAGAACUAGGAUGGUUGUAGAGCUAGGAUGUGUAGAGCUAGGAUGGUUGUAGAGCUAGGAUGGUUGUAGAGCUAGGAUGUGUAGAACUUCAGAUGGUUGUAGAGCUAGGAUGUGUAGAGCUAGGAUGUGUAGAUCUUCAGCUGGUUGUAGAGCUAGGAUGUGUAGAACUAGGAUGGUUGUAGAGCUAGGAUGUGUAGAACUUCAGAUGGUUGUAGAGCUAGAGUGUGUAGAGCUAGGAUGUGUAGAGCUUCAGCUGGUUGUAGAGCUAGGAUGUGUAGAUCUUUAGCUGGUUGUAGAGCUAGGAUGUGUAGAACUUCAGGUGGUUGUAGAGCUAGGAUGUGUAGAACUUCAGAUGGUUGUAGAGCUAGGAUGUGUAGAUCUUCAGAUGGUUGUAGAGCUAGGAUGUGUAGAACUUCAGAUGGUUGUAGAGCUAGGAUGUGUAGAACUUCAGAUGGUUGUAGAGCUAGGAUGUGUAGAACUUCAGAUGGUUGUAGAGCUAGGAUGUGUAGAUCUUCAGCUGGUUGUAGAGCUAGGAUGAGUAGAACUUCAUGUUAUUUAUUUGAGGCUAAAUGGAUUUUUAAUUGAUGUAGUAUAUUAAGUUAAAAUAACUGUUAAUUCAGAAUUGUUGUAAUUGUCAUUAUUACAAAUAAAACAUUUUUUAAAAUUGGA